Molecule: non-coding RNA, 23 nt
Filed under: Arabidopsis thaliana (thale cress)
Lineage: Eukaryota; Viridiplantae; Streptophyta; Magnoliopsida; Brassicales; Brassicaceae
Source: RNAcentral
ACAGAUUCUACAACAUGAUGGUU